GCCGGAAUAGCUCAGUUGGGAGAGCGUUAGACUGAAGUUGUUUACGCAACAAUCAGGCCCCCGGUUCAAUCCCGGGUUCCGGCA
RNAcentral lists this transfer RNA (84 nucleotides) under Dreissena polymorpha. It matches the Rfam family "tRNA". From Rfam's summary of the family: Transfer RNA (tRNA) molecules are approximately 80 nucleotides in length. Lineage: Eukaryota; Metazoa; Mollusca; Bivalvia; Myida; Dreissenidae. The record is from Rfam by way of RNAcentral.